CCUACGGGAGGCAGCAGUGGGGGAUAUUGCACAAUGGGGGAAACCCUGAUGCAGCGACGCCGCGUGGGCGAAGAAGUAUUUCUGUAUUUAAAGCCCUAUCAGCAGGGAAGUAAAAAUGACGAUACCUGAGUAAGAAGCACCGGCUAAAUACGUGCCAGCAGCCGCGGUAAUACGUAUGGUGCAAGCGGUAUCCGGGUUUACUGGGUGAAAAGGGAGCGCAGGGGGCACGGAGAGCGUGAGGUGAAGGCCCGCGGCCAAAUCGCGGAACUGCAUUGGGAACUACCGGCCUGGAGUGACGGUGAGGAAGGGGGAAGUCCUGGUGUAGCGGUGAAAUGUGUAGAUAUUAGGAGGACAACCAGUGGCGAAGGAGGCCUACUGGACGGUGACUGAGGCUGAGGAUCGAAAGCGUGGGGAGCAAACAGGAUUAGAUACCCGGUAGUC
This 441-nucleotide ribosomal RNA is filed under the name uncultured bacterium. RNAcentral's name for it is "partial 16S ribosomal RNA". It matches the Rfam family "Bacterial small subunit ribosomal RNA", at positions 338 to 795 of the family's 1533-position model. The record is from RNAcentral.